CCGAAAGGCAGGAGUGCCUGCAAGGGAGCGCGGAGACAGGUGGUGCAUGGCUGUCGUCAGCUCGUGUCGUGAGAUGUUGGGUUAAGUCCCGCAACGAGCGCAACCCUCACCUCUUGUUGCCAUCAGGUCAUGCUGGGCACUCUAGAGGAACUGCCCCGGACAACGGGGAGGAAGGCGGGGAUGACGUCAAGUCAUCAUGCCCCUUACGUCCUGGGCUACACACGUGCUACAAUGGCCGGUACAAAGGGAUGCCACACCGCGAGGUAGAGCUAAACCCAAAAAGCCGGUCUAAGUUCGGAUUGGAGUCUGCAACUCGACUCCAUGAAGGAGGAAUCGCUAGUAAUCGCGUAUCAGCACGACGCGGUGAAUACGUUCCCGGGCCUUGUACACACCGCCCGUCACACCACGAAAGCCAG
RNAcentral lists this ribosomal RNA (416 nucleotides) under uncultured bacterium. RNAcentral describes it as "bacterial SSU rRNA". It matches the Rfam family "Bacterial small subunit ribosomal RNA", at positions 1001 to 1414 of the family's 1533-position model. The record is from RNAcentral.